Molecule: ribosomal RNA, 265 nt
Filed under: uncultured bacterium
Lineage: Bacteria
Description: partial 16S ribosomal RNA
Rfam family: Bacterial small subunit ribosomal RNA
Source: RNAcentral
UACGAAGGGGGGCUAGCGUUGUUCGGAAUUACUGGGCGUAAAGCGCACGUAGGCGGCUUUUGUAAGUUAGAGGUGAAAGCCCAGGGCUCAACCCUGGAAUUGCCUUUUAAGACUGCAUCGCUAGAAUUGUGGAGAGGUAAGUGGAAUUCCGAGUGUAGAGGUGAAAUUCGUAGAUAUUCGGAAGAACACCAGUGGCGAAGGCGACUUACUGGACACAUAUUUGACGCUGAGGUGCGAAAAGCGUGGGGGAGCAAAACAGGGAUUA